This 140-nucleotide small nuclear RNA is filed under the name Echinops telfairi (small Madagascar hedgehog). Its description in RNAcentral is "U1 spliceosomal RNA (ENSETEG00000023284.1)". It matches the Rfam family "U1 spliceosomal RNA". From Rfam's summary of the family: U1 is a small nuclear RNA (snRNA) component of the spliceosome (involved in pre-mRNA splicing). Its 5' end forms complementary base pairs with the 5' splice junction, thus defining the 5' donor site of an intron. The record is from RNAcentral. Lineage: Eukaryota; Metazoa; Chordata; Mammalia; Afrosoricida; Tenrecidae.
AUACUGACCUGGCAGGGGAGAUACCAUGAUCACGGAGGUGGUUUUGCACUCCGGAUGUGCUGAGCCCUGCGAUUUCCCCAAAUGUGGGAAACGUGACUGCAUAAUUUGUGGUAGUGGCAGCCUGCGUUUGCGCUCUCCCC